GGGGUGCAGCAGGCGCGAAACCUUAGCAAUGUGCGAAAGCACGACUGGGUCAGUCCGAGUGAUUCCUGAUAAAGGAGUCUUUUGCCUGUCCUAAAAGCACAGGUGAAUAAGGGGUGGGCAAGUCUGGUGUCAGCCGCCGCGGUAAUACCAGCACCUCGAGUGGUCAGGACGUUUAUUGGGCCUAAAGCAUCCGUAGCCGGCUCUGCAAGUCUUCGGUUAAAUCCACCUGCUCAACAGAUGGGCCGCUGGAGAUACUACAGAGCUAGGGAGUGGGAGAGGCAGACGGUAUUCAGUGGGUAGGGGUAAAAUCCUCUGAUCCAUUGAGGACCACCAGUGGCGAAGGCGGUCUGCCAGAACACGUUCGACGGUGAGGGAUGAAAGCUGGGGGAGCAAACCGGAUUAGAUACCCGGGUAGUCCCAGCUGUAAACGAUGCAAACUCGGUGAUGCAUUGGCUUAUGGCCAAUGCAGUGCCGCAGGGAAGCCGUUAAGUU
This 492-nucleotide ribosomal RNA is filed under the name uncultured crenarchaeote. RNAcentral describes it as "bacterial SSU rRNA". It matches the Rfam family "Archaeal small subunit ribosomal RNA", at positions 327 to 821 of the family's 1478-position model. The record is from RNAcentral. Lineage: Archaea; Thermoproteati; Thermoproteota.